RNAcentral lists this unclassified non-coding RNA (244 nucleotides) under uncultured fungus. RNAcentral describes it as "sequence contains ITS1". The stretch from base 1 to 98 matches the Rfam family "5.8S ribosomal RNA", at positions 49 to 154 of the family's 154-position model. The record is from RNAcentral. Lineage: Eukaryota; Fungi.
AAGAAUGCGAUAUGCAAUGUGAAUUGCAGAACCAUGAAUCAUCGGAUCUUUGAACGCAACUGGCGCUGAUUUACCUCAGCAUACUUGUUUCAGUGUGCGCAAACAACUCAACAACAAAAAUGUGAGAGAAUCUCUCUCAUAAAGUAAAUGCUCAUUGCAGCAGUCACAUUUAUUUGUGAGCUGGAAUGUUGAACACAAGCCUUAUUUGCAUCUGAUAUCAAGUAAGAUGACCCGCUGGACUUAA